AAUACUCACAAGGGGCGAACAUAGAGGGGACAAUACAACCUGAUGUGGGGUCAGAUUAACGGAUGGGAUUACAAAAAAGGUGAAUUUAAAAAUUUACAAAAAUGACAAAAUAGCAAAAAAUCGAAUGAAGAACAGACCGGAAGACAUUACGGAUGGAUCGGAACAGCGUCGUG
This is a long non-coding RNA of Octopus sinensis (East Asian common octopus), 173 nucleotides long. RefSeq lists it as uncharacterized. The transcript has 3 exons. The record is from RefSeq and is a predicted model, not a curated record. Lineage: Eukaryota; Metazoa; Mollusca; Cephalopoda; Octopoda; Octopodidae.